Long non-coding RNA from Daphnia pulicaria, 722 nucleotides. RefSeq lists it as uncharacterized. NCBI's taxonomy places the organism in Eukaryota, Metazoa, Arthropoda, Branchiopoda, Diplostraca, Daphniidae. The transcript is spliced from 5 exons. The record is from RefSeq and is a predicted model, not a curated record.
GUUAGAUGUGAAAAGAGAUUCUGCCAGUGAAAAUGGAUAGUAUUACGUAAGCACACAUAACCUGUAAUUAUUUCCUAGACAUGGGUUAUUUCAUGGCUUGGAAACAAGAAAUUUUGAAUUGUUUCUUUCCAUGUGAAACUAUCUUACCAUGGACUAUGGAAGUUGUUUGUCGAAAGCUCAUGCGCUUACAAAUAUAAUAAAGUGAAGAAAUAGGUAUCGAACAGUAAUCCUGUAUGCAUUUAUCAUCCCAUUGAAGCUUGGUCCAUGCUGGACUAUGGAAAGAUUUUUGUCGAAAGCUAUUGGAAUUAUCGGUGUACUCUUGUAAGACUAAGCUGAAUGUCAAUGUAGAGUCAGUGACAGUUUGCAAACACUAUUUGAUAAUUCAUAAGAAGAAGCCAAGAUUGGCGUCGUCUCUAGACCAUUCAGGCCUAGCCGCCAGCCCCAGAGACGGAGAAGCGAGCCAAAGCACUGAAAAAGAGCGAAAAAGUUGAAAUCCAAAGUGAUGCAGAUUAAUGCUUCGGAAACAACCCUGCCGUCGCCGUAAGCUGCCAAUCAGCACCGCAUUUUGCGCAUUCUGCAGGAACUGGAGCGUGAUGCGGCCGUUCACGAUCGUCACUGGGGAGACGUCUUAACGAUCACAUCAACUUGGAUUUUGAAAAACCGCAACAAAAUCUUUUAAUUUUUAUUUUUUAAAUGUUUAUUGUGUAACGUCAAUGAUUGAA